Molecule: long non-coding RNA, 812 nt
Organism: Dermacentor andersoni
Lineage: Eukaryota; Metazoa; Arthropoda; Arachnida; Ixodida; Ixodidae
Source: RefSeq, a predicted model, not a curated record
GCUUGUAGUGUCGUGAUGUGUGCUUGCAGCCGUGUGUUUGGGCUUUAUAAGUUCGUUCUUUAUUCUAUGUUGCGGGACGGUGUGGGUGUGGUCCAUGUUGACCGUACAGGUGGCAGUUAUGCAACCGAGGGAUGGUCCUGUUGAAGUUUCCGGCGGUAUGCGGUUUUCAGCGGUCACGCCAGUUGCAGGAGUGUCACUCGACGAGGUUACGAGCUUGAAGCUGUGGUCAGAUUCCUCGUUGGCGUUCCGUAAUCCUCUUCGCACGGACGCGGGAUCUGAUGUGCAUAUCUGCAGUUUAUGGAUACAUGUAAAAGACUCAGCAUCAAGUGCAAGUGAACGGUCCCACAGGCCCGGAGUCGAUCAUGCAAAUAGAUUCGCUGCACACAUUUGUGACCAGAAAAGAUAUGCCACAUGAAAUGGCAUGCAAGGAAGUGUUUAAAAUAUUGCACAAUUAAUAAAACGCCUACGCUAUUAAUAAGGGUUGAUGCACUCGUUAUGCAAAACGGAGGUGAGGCGUGCAGACAGGACACAAGAGUAGAGUAUUUACAAGCAAACAACACGAGCGCCGCCCACUUCCCUACUCUUGUGUCCUGUCUGGGCGCCUCACCUCUGUUUUGCAUAAUGAAUCCUUACCAACUAGCUCAGCUUUCUGUCGUUCUAAGUCUCGAUGCACUCGAUUUCGUCCGCAUUAGGCACUCGCCUCUUGAUUACUUCGUGGCGCAGAAAUACUCGGCAUCAGGCUGUUUUUCUGCUGUGGCCUUUGUAGAAGCAUGAUUGUUCAAAGUGCAACAAUUAAACAGAUUCUUUGAGUU